Molecule: long non-coding RNA, 724 nt
Filed under: Monodelphis domestica (gray short-tailed opossum)
Lineage: Eukaryota; Metazoa; Chordata; Mammalia; Didelphimorphia; Didelphidae
Description: lncRNA (ENSMODG00000050344.1)
Source: RNAcentral
UAGACGAAGUCUGAUUAUCCUUACUUUAUAAAUGAGGAAGUUGAGGCUUAGAGUGAUUAAAGGAUCUGCCCAUAGUCACACAUCUUGUUAAGUGUUCCAGCUAGGAUUCAGAUUCUGAAUCCCUGACACUAGGUCCAGCAUCCUUUUCUGGAUUUACUACAUGAUGCAUUGACUUCCUUGGAUGGAACUGAAUCCACUACUGGAUCCGAUUCAUUUCAACAAAAAUCAUUAAACACCUAAAAUAUGUAAGGAACUAUUCUAGAUAAUAAUAAUGGCUCCUAUUUAUAUGACACUUUGUGAUUUGCCAAGAGUGUUCCCCUCCAAAUAGUCUAGAAGAAAAUAGGUAGCAAUAAUAAUAGUAAUUACUAAUAUUUAUCUACCAUAAGAUUUCUAAAAGGAUUUUUCCUCAUAAAAGCUCUGUGAGUUAAGCUAUGCAAGUAUUAAUAUUUUCAUUUUUCAGAUGGUUAAAUUGAGACUUGUGGAGACAAUGGAGUAUAGUUUGGAGACCAAGGACCCAGAUUUAAAUGCUACUUUUGCUGCAUGCCACAGCCGCAGCUGUGUUCUUGGGCUAUCUAUAUUCACAGUGUCUUUUUGGAAUAGUGGACCACUUGCCCUGCUGGCUUUGCAACCAACAUUUAAGGAACAAGCAUCAAUUACAGACAAAACCCCGGAGCAAACUUCAGGAGUAAAAAGCAGGGAAUUUUUUGAAAUAGAAAACCAAUGA